Molecule: unclassified non-coding RNA, 343 nt
Filed under: soil metagenome
Description: partial contains 5.8S ribosomal RNA, internal transcribed spacer 2, and large subunit ribosomal RNA
Rfam family: 5.8S ribosomal RNA (bases 1-120)
Source: RNAcentral
GAUGAAGAACGUAGCGAAAUGCGAUAAGUAAUGUGAAUUGUAGAAUUCAGUGAAUCAUCGAAUCUUUGAACGCACAUUGCGCCCGCCAGCAUUCUGGCGGGCAUGCCUGUUCGAGCGUCAUUUCAACCCUCGAGCCCCCCCGGGGGCCUCGGUGUUGGGGGACGGCACACCAGCCGCCCCCGAAAUGCAGUGGCGACCCCGCCGCAGCCUCCCCUGCGUAGUAGCACACACCUCGCACCGGAGCGCGGAGGCGGUCACGCCGUAAAACGCCCAACUUUCUUAGAGUUGACCUCGGAUCAGGUAGGAAUACCCGCUGAACUUAAGCAUAUCAAUAAGCGGAGGA